This 73-nucleotide transfer RNA is filed under the name Ixodes scapularis (black-legged tick). It matches the Rfam family "tRNA". Rfam says of the family: Transfer RNA (tRNA) molecules are approximately 80 nucleotides in length. The record is from Rfam by way of RNAcentral. Lineage: Eukaryota; Metazoa; Arthropoda; Arachnida; Ixodida; Ixodidae.
CCCUGGUUAGCUCACUUGGUAGAGCGCUCCACCUGCAAUGGAAAGGUCCCGGGUUCGAUACCCGAACCAGGCG